UAUGUAUAUAUAUAUAUAUAUAUGUAUGUGUAUAUAUAUAUGUAUAUAUAUAAAUAUAUGUAUGUAUAUGUGUGUGUGUAUAUAUAUAUAUAUAUAUAUAUAUAUAUAUAUAUAUAUAACUAUUUUAAAAUGUUUCAGCUGCAAAGCUGUGGUCAUGCUGGAGCACCAUUGUUGACUGUGCUACACCAUUAUAUGGAACCUCCUCUGGUAUGUGGCAUUUGGUAAAUGAGGGAGUCUGAUGCUGCUGCCCUCAUCUGUGUUUCUGCUGUGAGGUAGGCUUGUCUGGAACCCGUAACAGGAAGAGAUCUAGAUUUGUUUUCAAGACACAUCCACACCAUGCACAUAUAUAUAUGUGUGUGUGUAUAUGUAUAUAUAUAUAUGUGUGUGUGUAUAUGUAUAUAUAUAUGUGUG
This 411-nucleotide long non-coding RNA is filed under the name Octopus vulgaris (common octopus). Lineage: Eukaryota; Metazoa; Mollusca; Cephalopoda; Octopoda; Octopodidae. The record is from RNAcentral.